Molecule: transfer RNA, 88 nt
Filed under: Pseudomonas sp.
Lineage: Bacteria; Pseudomonadati; Pseudomonadota; Gammaproteobacteria; Pseudomonadales; Pseudomonadaceae
Also listed under: 6 other names
Description: tRNA-Gly
Rfam family: tRNA (bases 19-85)
About the family: Transfer RNA (tRNA) molecules are approximately 80 nucleotides in length. Their secondary structure includes four short double-helical elements and three loops (D, anti-codon, and T loops).
Source: RNAcentral
GCGGAAAGACGCGCAAUUGCGGGUAGCGCAGGUCGCUAGACAGCCUUCCAAGCUUUCGAUCAGGGUUCGAUUCCCUGUAUCCGCUCCA